UGCGGGAUACAUGGAGCGGUUCCAGGCAGGGCUCAUAACCCUUGAGACGCCAGUUCGAAUCUGGCUCCCGCAA
This 73-nucleotide transfer RNA is filed under the name Caudoviricetes sp. Its description in RNAcentral is "tRNA-Met". It matches the Rfam family "tRNA". Rfam says of the family: Transfer RNA (tRNA) molecules are approximately 80 nucleotides in length. Their secondary structure includes four short double-helical elements and three loops (D, anti-codon, and T loops). Lineage: Duplodnaviria; Heunggongvirae; Uroviricota; Caudoviricetes. The record is from RNAcentral.